This is a long non-coding RNA of Populus nigra (black poplar), 620 nucleotides long. RefSeq lists it as uncharacterized. The transcript is spliced from 2 exons. The record is from RefSeq and is a predicted model, not a curated record. NCBI's taxonomy places the organism in Eukaryota, Viridiplantae, Streptophyta, Magnoliopsida, Malpighiales, Salicaceae.
AAGAAAACAAGAUAUUGACAUAAACCAAAAAGAAGUCCUAAGAUGGCAAAGAUUUCACGCAAUCAUCUUGUUCUUGUAGCCUUUUUCCUUCUUUGCUUUGUUUCCACUUGUGCUAGAGCAAGGACUUUGCGAGAGGCUAGCAACCACGGAGCAGAGAAAAAGGACCAAAAUGAUAUGUUUCCAUCAAAAGAAAAUGGUUUACCAGACGUGGAGGAAUUGGUUGGGAUGGACUACACUCCAGCGAGAAAGAAGCCUCCAAUCCACAACUAAAAAAAUGGAAAUUUCUGGUUGAGCUUCGACAAGAGUCUUGUCUAUACGAGUACUCAUCAUACACUUCUACUAUGGUUUUGAGCUAGCUAGCACAUACAGUUCAAUAUAUAGGAUCGAGGGACAAUUAUUGCAGUGUGUGUGUGUGUAUUAGGACAUGGUUAUUUAGGAGUGUUACUUGCAAAGAAUAUUGCACUAGGAGGGGUUUAAUUAGUCUAUGGAAAUUUGUUUUUUGUAAAUUAGGUUAUAAAUCAUGGCUUAAAGAGAACUAACAGUAACUUGAGAUACAGAAGUAUCAAUCAUGCUUGUAAUACCUUGGAUAUGAAAUCCAAGCACACUUUUAUUUUUUCUCC